CCCAGCAGUGGCUGUAGGUUUCUGUCCCUUGAUGACAUGAUCUUCAGAGGCUUCUCCGGCUCUAUCAGGAUGAUGCAAAACAAUGCCAUACCUCUUCUGGGGUGGUGCAUGUGAGUGAUGCAUCUGCUUAAUAUGGGACUGCUGCCAGCCUGCUGGCGCAUCCCCUGCUGAUCUACUGGGAUCAAGUGAUUUCUUGCUUCCUUGUUAACUGCUGGUGGUGAAAUAUAUUCAGUUUUUUCAGGUUUCUUUGAAAUAAAUGUCUCUUACACAUCUCUUGUCCAAAUGGGUACUGGUCAAUCAUGAAAAAUCAAGGGACUGAGAGGCUAUCUUCUUAAGAGCUGCAGGAUGCAGAAUAGGAAAUUGACUACAUUUUUGUGGCUUACACAAAUUGUAAUUGCUCUCAAAUCAUGCGUUAUUUUUGAAGAGGCUCAAGGAAAACAGUGUUUCUCCUUUGUGUGUUAAUGAAGAAGAUACACAACCAAAAACAUUUUUACAUAAAAUUCUGUAUUUGGUACUUGAUCACAGUAAGGAAUAUUUCCUCUGCUUGGUUUAUCACCUGUAGCUUUAUGUGACUAUGUCUCCAGCAGAUUUGUCUCAGUUAUGCAUGAGCUACAGAGGUACAGAAAUAAGAAUGCACUUGAAAGUCUUUAUCAUGCCCUUAUGUUAGUUAACUUAUGGAGGGAAGAGGCAGGAAAUGCAAUUUUUCCCACAUUUUUCUUCAGAAAGCCAAUAAUUGUCUCCCAUUUAUAUUUAAUUGUUGAUUUCCUUAGUGAAAUUGGAGGUGGAAACUCAAUAAAAAGAAGUUUUCAACCAUAA
This is a long non-coding RNA of Anas platyrhynchos (mallard), 816 nucleotides long. RefSeq lists it as uncharacterized. NCBI's taxonomy places the organism in Eukaryota, Metazoa, Chordata, Aves, Anseriformes, Anatidae. The record is from RefSeq and is a predicted model, not a curated record.